Xiphophorus hellerii (green swordtail) is the source of this 1482-nucleotide long non-coding RNA. RefSeq lists it as uncharacterized. The record is from RefSeq and is a predicted model, not a curated record. NCBI's taxonomy places the organism in Eukaryota, Metazoa, Chordata, Actinopteri, Cyprinodontiformes, Poeciliidae. The transcript has 2 exons.
GGCUUAAAGAGUUACUUCUUUAUGAACAGCUUAUUUGUCUUAAUAUGCUCACUGUGGGUGUUUGUGGCAGCGAGGACAAAUUGAGUUCGAGGUGGUGUACGUGGCCCCAGAAGUGGACAGUGAUGAUGAGAAUGUGGAGUAUGAAGAUGACAGCGGCCACCGGUACCGACUCUACUUGGAUGAACUGGAGGACAGCAGCACAACAGCGCCACCAGGCAACAGCUCAGCAUCACUUCAGGCUCUGGAGAAGAUGACACUGAACAGUGGACCGGAGAACGGAAACCCUGGGAUCCCCUCUCAGAAAAAUCCACAGGAAACUCCGUCAAAGCCACCAGACACGGACUACUCCUCAUAAAAUGCCAAACUGACCUCUGGGAUUUUUGGACAAGAACUGAAACAAUUCAGUGACAAUCUGAGAAACUUGGGGAAACCGACUUUUACUGUCCAUUUUCCCAUCUUUCUCUUUUAGUCUAGAUGAAGUGCAGUUUGUGGCUUGUGGCACUUGAUCUCAGUUAUUUUUAUGUGAAAGUUUGAUGCCAUGUUAAUGGACUGGGAAAAUUUGAGAAUGUUUUUAGCAAUGGGAGCUGACAGGAAUACCUUAUAGGAGAGAAAUAUGCACGCUGACAUGGAAGUGGAAUAAUUUCAUCUCUUUAUUGAUAAAAUGCUUCAGAGCUUCUGUCUGGGGAGACGGUGUGUGUUGGUUCAUUAUCUGGUUUUAAAUAAGGAAGCCUUUUCAGAAAAAGAUUCUGAAAGAAAAAUAAGUUUGUUAGAAACGUAGGACAACUUUCACAAUGAACUCAUUUAGGCAUCAAAUAUUUUAGACAGGGUCUGUUUUUUCUUUUUUAACAGUGACUAUAGAUAUGUUUUAAUGUGUAAACUCCUAUUUGUGUAAUCAGAAGAUUAAGAUGCAACGUGCUGUUUGGUGACCCACCUUGUCCUUCCGUAGCUCUUAGGCUAACAACUGACCUUUUUUAGGUUGCUGAUGUUACUUUUGAUUUUUUCUUCUUUUUUUGGUUUUUGUGAACCUCUUGGCUUUUCUUGAGGUUUUUUUUAACCAAAUAAUUUCAAAAAUAGCAUGAUACAUUUUUUUAAUCACUACUAUCCCUGAAAGUCCAUAAAAAUGAAUGAAUCCUUGUCCUGACAUAUUUAGUCGAUAGUUGAACAGGUGUAGGUCAGUGUUGUCAUCGGCAACAGUAUCACAUGUCCUAAAUAUGUUUAGAGGAGACUACUGUACCCAUCUCUGUUAUGAAUAGACAAUCCUGUUUAUUUUCUGAUAUUUGGUAUGUGUGCUCUUUAAAGCUGCUGCAUUUCCUCGUUCUUUUUAAAACCGUUGUGGAACGCCUCCCAGUAUAACUGUGGAGAAGGUUUGACUGCACCAGUUUUUCCAGGCUUCCACCUCUGCAAUCCAUGUAUUCAGCUGAAUCGUUUAUUAUCCACCUGCUUGUUUUUGAACUUGAAUAAACCAUUUUUUUGUCAUAACUC